GUGAAAAUUUCAGCAGUACUAAAGUGCUUAUAGUGCAGGUAGUGUUUUCUAUCUACUGCAAUGUGAGCACUUGAAGUAUUUCUGACAGACUACAUCUCGG
This 100-nucleotide microRNA precursor is filed under the name Tetraodon nigroviridis (spotted green pufferfish). RNAcentral describes it as "miRNA (ENSTNIG00000020162.1)". The stretch from base 10 to 85 matches the Rfam family "mir-17 microRNA precursor family". Rfam says of the family: This family represents the microRNA (miRNA) precursor mir-17, family, which includes mir-20, mir-91, and mir-103. miRNAs are transcribed as ~70nt precursors (modelled here) and subsequently processed by the Dicer enzyme to give a ~22nt product. In this case the mature sequence comes from the 3' arm of the precursor. Lineage: Eukaryota; Metazoa; Chordata; Actinopteri; Tetraodontiformes; Tetraodontidae. The record is from RNAcentral.